GCCUCCCCCACAAAGAGGGAGUUCUGCUAAACCCCCUCCACCGUCUUCCAAACCCAUCCCACCUCGCCUUCCUCGCCGACCAUUUCCGCACCCACCCACCCCAUCGUCUCAGGCUCUUCGCUUCGUCCCCACUGCGACGGGAGGCUAGGGUUCCCGCACCAAGCCGGCUUCCCCCUCCGCCAUGGCCUUCUCCCAGAGAUAUGGAUACGGGAGCGCUGGGUUCUUCGAGAUCGUGCAGGGCUUGCACCCGCGCGGGAUCCCCAAGUCCGAGGCGAGAGGGGGAGCGGGCGUCGCCGUGAACAAGGUCAAGAAGUAUCUCGCCAAGAUGGACAGGGCUGUGGAUUACGACUUCUACGACGAUAACGAUCUCCGCUACGUCCGCUUCAAGUCGCCGUUCAACCGCCGCCCCCUCAUCGGCCGUCGUCCGCCCCUCGGGAAGAACGCGGGGAAGCGCACCCUCCGCCUCGUCGGGAGCAGCAGCCCGGACUACCUGCGGCAAUGGUGCGCCACUUGAUUUGGUCGUUUCGUGAAGAGGCUGCAUUUGGUGAUUUUGAUGACAGCGACGACUGGGAGGGCGAGGUGUAGGAGGGGCCAUCAGAAAACCAACAGUUUGAGCAAGGGAGGAGUGUAUAGUUCUUUGGAAGUCUCUUGGCUUGGGAGUUGGGACGCUGGGCUACUUACAUAUCUGCAUAGUACCUUUUACAUUUCUGCAAUCUCUACAAUGCGAGGAGAGAGCUGGCCUGUAAUAAUUUUUGCGCUCUCAAUGCUCGUCUCCUCUGCUCUAAAUUGUCAGAUUCUUCUCCAAUGCCUGCACUGAAAAGAGACCUUGGUAUUCUGUUA
This is an RNA transcript of Panicum hallii, 840 nucleotides long. RefSeq lists it as uncharacterized. The transcript has 5 exons. NCBI's taxonomy places the organism in Eukaryota, Viridiplantae, Streptophyta, Magnoliopsida, Poales, Poaceae. The record is from RefSeq and is a predicted model, not a curated record.